Molecule: ribosomal RNA, 429 nt
Filed under: Pseudomonadota bacterium
Lineage: Bacteria; Pseudomonadati; Pseudomonadota
Description: Proteobacteria bacterium partial 16S ribosomal RNA
Rfam family: Bacterial small subunit ribosomal RNA
Source: RNAcentral
UGGGGAAUAUUGGACAAUGGGCGAAAGCCUGAUCCAGCCAUGCCGCGUGUGUGAAGAAGGUCUUCGGAUUGUAAAGCACUUUAAGUUGGGAGGAAGGGCAGUAAGCGAAUACCUUGCUGUUUUGACGUUACCGACAGAAUAAGCACCGGCUAUCUCUGUGCCAGCAGCCGCGGUAAUACAGAGGGUGCAAGCGUUAAUCGGAAUUACUGGGCGUAAAGCGCGCGUAGGUGGUUCGUUAAGUUGAAUGUGAAAGCCCCGGGCUCAACCUGGGAACUGCAUCCAAAACUGGCGAGCUAGAGUAGGGCAGAGGGUGGUGGAAUUUCCUGUGUAGCGGUGAAAUGCGUAGAUAUAGGAAGGAACACCAGUGGCGAAGGCGACCACCUGGGCUCAUACUGACACUGAGGUGCGAAAGCGUGGGGAGCAAACAGG